UACGUAGGCAGCGAGCGUUGUUCGGAGUUACUGGGCGUAAAGGGUGUGUAGGCGGUUCUUUAAGUUUGGUGUGAAAUCUCCCGGCUCAACCGGGAGGGUGCGCCGAAGACUGAGGGACUAGAGUGCGGGAGAGGAAAGUGGAAUUCCUGGUGUAGCGGUGAAAUGCGUAGAUAUCAGGAGGAACACCGGUGGUGUAGACGGCUUUCUGGACCGUAACUGACGCUGAGACACGAAAGCGUGGGUAGCAAACAGG
RNAcentral lists this ribosomal RNA (253 nucleotides) under uncultured bacterium. Its description in RNAcentral is "partial 16S ribosomal RNA". It matches the Rfam family "Bacterial small subunit ribosomal RNA", at positions 524 to 776 of the family's 1533-position model. The record is from RNAcentral.